GUACACGCUGUGACUAGCAUAUCAAUAAGCGGAGGAAAAGAAACUAACAAGGAUUCCCCUAGUAACGGCGAGUGAAGCGGGAAGAGCUCAAAUUUGAAAUCUUAAAGGGUUUCCCUUUACGAAUUGUAGUUUAAAGAAGUGUUUUCUGUUGAGGUUUUGGUAAAAGUUCUUUGGAAUAGGACAUCAUAGAGGGUGAGAAUCCCGUAUUUGACCUUUACUUUCAACUUUGUGAUACACUUUCAAAGAGUCGGAUUGUUUGGGAAUGCAGUCCAAAAUGGGUGGUAAAUUUCAUCUAAAGCUAAAUAUUGGCGAGAGACCGAUAGCGAACAAGUACCGUGAGGGAAAGACGAAAAGAACUUUGAAAAGAGAGUUAAACAGUACGUGAAAUUGUCAAAAGGGAAGCGUUUGACACCAGUGUUGUUUUUCUGAAAAUCAAUUAAAGAACUGUUUAUGCUAAGUUGUUUAGACUUUAUCAGCUAUCUGUUUAGUUUUGAGCUUUUCUUUAAUGCACUUUUCAGUUAACAAGUCAACAUCAAUUUCUUUUGCUGUAAAAAAGCUUGAGGAAGGUGGCUUGAGAUUCGUCUUAAGUGUUUAUAGCCUCUUGCCUAUGCAGUCGGAGAGAUUGAGGUCUGCAGCGUAGAUCCUUCGGGGCUAAAUGCAUUUGUGCUAAGUUAUAGCAUUUUAUAGACAACUUGUUGACUAUGAUUUGUCUUGUAGCUUACUCGCUUAUGUUAUUUUACCUACGCUUAGGAUGUUGACGAGACUGUCGAUCUC
This 774-nucleotide ribosomal RNA is filed under the name uncultured Neocallimastigales. RNAcentral describes it as "partial large subunit ribosomal RNA". It matches the Rfam family "Eukaryotic large subunit ribosomal RNA", at positions 22 to 646 of the family's 3401-position model. The record is from RNAcentral. Lineage: Eukaryota; Fungi; Neocallimastigomycota; Neocallimastigomycetes; Neocallimastigales.